UACGUGGGGUGCAAGCGUUGUCCGGAAUUAUUGGGCGUAAAGAGCUCGUAGGCGGUUUGUCGCGUCUGCUGUGAAAACCCGAGGCUCAACCUCGGGCCUGCAGUGGGUACGGGCAGACUAGAGUGCGGUAGGGGAGAUUGGAAUUCCUGGUGUAGCGGUGGAAUGCGCAGAUAUCAGGAGGAACACCAAUGGCGAAGGCAGAUCUCUGGGCCGUAACUGACGCUGAGGAGCGAAAGCAUGGGGAGCGAACAGG
RNAcentral lists this ribosomal RNA (253 nucleotides) under uncultured bacterium. RNAcentral's name for it is "partial 16S ribosomal RNA". It matches the Rfam family "Bacterial small subunit ribosomal RNA", at positions 524 to 776 of the family's 1533-position model. The record is from RNAcentral.